CAAUAGCGUAUAUUUAAGUUGUUGCAGUUCAAAAGCUCGUAGUUGGAUUUCGGGUUGGCUUCAGCGGUCUCGCUUUGCGUUUGUACUGCCGCAGCCUUCCUUCUUGCUGGGGACGGUCCUCCGGGCUUCAUUGCUUGGGGUCUGGAAUCAGCGACGUUACUUUGAGUAAAUUAGAGUGUUCAAAGCAAGCCUACGCUCUGAAUAUAAUAGCAUGGGAUAACACGACAGGACUCUGGCCUAUCGUGUUGGUCUGUAGGACCAGAGUAAUGAUUAAGAGGGACAGUCGGGGGCAUUCGUAUUCCGUUGUCAGAGGUGAAAUUCUUGGAUUUACGGAAGACGAACAUCUGCGAAAGCAUUUGCCAAGGAUGUUUUCAUUGA
RNAcentral lists this ribosomal RNA (378 nucleotides) under uncultured eukaryote. Its description in RNAcentral is "partial 18S ribosomal RNA". It matches the Rfam family "Eukaryotic small subunit ribosomal RNA", at positions 592 to 976 of the family's 1831-position model. The record is from RNAcentral.